GUAGUUUGAUCAUGGCUCAGAACGAACGCUGGCGGCGUGCCUAACACAUGCAAGUCGAACGACGAAGUGCAGGGCUUCGGUCUGCUAGUAAAGUGGCGCACGGGUGAGUAACAACGUGGGUAACGUACAUCGUAGUGGGGGAUAACCAGGUGAAAGCUUGGCUAAUACCGCAUGAGUCUGUCGGGACGCGAGUCCUGAUAGGGAAAGUGGAGGCAAUCCACGCUACGAGAUCGGCCCGCGGCCCAUUAGCUAGUUGGCGGGGUAACGGCCACCAAGGCGACGAUGGGUAGCUGGUCUGACGAGGAUGAUCAG
Molecule: ribosomal RNA, 312 nt
Filed under: uncultured delta proteobacterium
Lineage: Bacteria; Deltaproteobacteria
Description: bacterial SSU rRNA
Rfam family: Bacterial small subunit ribosomal RNA
Source: RNAcentral